GACGGCAUACGAGGCUGUGCUGUACUGGUUUGCAACAUCUGUCACUGGCUUACAUAGCUGUUAAUCUUUCAUUUCAUGUUCAGACUUAUCAGUAUUCAUUAAAGACCCUCCAUUUGUGCAAGACCUUCUGGGAAAGAGUGCCCUAUCUCGGUGUCUUAGAUUUAACAACAACGACAAAAAGGUUCCAUUUUAGACACUUUUUUUGAUCAGGCAGCAGGCAGUCUCUGGCUGUGGGAGGUGGGAACCAGUCAUAUAUGCAUAUGACCAAACAGCUUUUCUACUGGAGAAGUUUAGCAUUGGUAAGAGAAGGUGUUCCAAGUUGAUGUUUAAAUCCACCCAUUUCCAUUUUGCUUCCUUACCUACAAGAAAAUUUAGAAGUUGGUGCAAAUGGCAUUUCCAUGAGUACUUCUCAUGCAUCUUUGCAUAUUUCACCUGGGGGGAAGCACAGAGGCUGAGCCUGGGAGGCUGGAUCCGCGAGGGCGCGUCACCUCGCCUACUUGGGAGUCCAGGCACAUGCACAGCGUCUAAAGGUCUAAACAGAAAGAUGGGAUGUCCUGCCCCAGCAAAAAUCUAAUGAUUUUCUCUCUCUGUAGGAGAAAACGAAUACAGCAGGGAUGACUUCCACCAGCUCCACUUUGCAGCUCUGAGGUGUAUUAAAAAUUUGUUUUUCAGAAACCUAGAGCCCCACCAAAUGAAUCCGCUGGCACGUGGACCUCAGAUGGGGGAAACUGAGGACUGAAUUCUGACCACCCUCCUUUGUUCUAAAUUUCUUCCUGAAGGACCUGGAAGAAGUCAUGCCACGGGCCAGACCUUAACAUUCCUUUCGGCUUACCCCAGGAUUUCAGACGAAGCUUCACUUUCCUAACCAGUCACAAAUCAGAGAAUUUUUGAUUCCACCUAUGACCUGUGAGCUCCUGCUUCAAGAUAUUCCACCUUUUUUAGGCCAAACCAAUGUAUAACCUCCAAGUGUCGAUUUACACUUUCGACUGUAACUUCUGCUUUCCUGAGAUUUACCCCUGCCUUUAAAAACCCUUGCUUGUAAUCCCUCAGGGAGGCCGUGUAUUUAUUAAUCAUGAGCUGCCCAAUUCUCCUUGCUUGGUGCCCUGCAAAUAAACACCCUCUUUUCUCCCACUGCAAAA
This 1139-nucleotide small RNA is filed under the name Homo sapiens (human). RNAcentral describes it as "PPP1R3B divergent transcript (ENSG00000285236.3)". The record is from RNAcentral. Lineage: Eukaryota; Metazoa; Chordata; Mammalia; Primates; Hominidae.